GAUGAACGCUGGCGGCGUGCCUAAUACAUGCAAGUCGAGCGAACAGACGAGGCGCUUGCUCCUCUGACGUUAGCGGCGGACGGGUGAGUAACACGUGGAUAACCUACCUAUAAGACUGGGAUAACUUCGGGAAACCGGAGCUAAUACCGGAUAAUAUAUUGAACCGCAUUGUUCAAUAGUGAAAGACGGUUUUGCUGUCACUUAUCGAUGGAUCCGCGCCGCAUUAGCUAGUUGGUAAGGUAACGGCUUACCAAGGCAACGAUGCGUAGCCGACCUGAGAGGGUGAUCGGCCACACUGGAACUGAGACACGGUCCAGACUCCUACGGGAGGCAGCAGUAGGGAAUCGUCCGCAAUGGGCGAAAGCCUGACGGAGCAACGCCGCGUGAGUGAUGAAGGUCUUCGGAUCGUAAAACUCUGUUAUUAGGGAAGAACAAAUGUGUAAGUAACUAUGCACGUCUUGACGGUACCUAAUCAGAAAGCCACGGCUAACUACGUG
This 497-nucleotide ribosomal RNA is filed under the name uncultured bacterium. RNAcentral describes it as "partial 16S ribosomal RNA". It matches the Rfam family "Bacterial small subunit ribosomal RNA", at positions 28 to 507 of the family's 1533-position model. The record is from RNAcentral.